UACGUAGGGGGCAAGCGUUGUCCGGAAUUAUUGGGCGUAAAGAGCGUGUAGGCGGUCCGGUAAGUCAGCUGUGAAAGUCAAGGGCUCAACCCUUGGAAGCCGGUUGAUACUGUCGGGCUAGAGUCCGGAAGAGGCGAGUGGAAUUCCCGGUGUAGCGGUGAAAUGCGCAGAUAUCGGGAGGAACACCAAUGGCGAAGGCAGCUCGCUGGGACGGUACUGACGCUGAGACGCGAAAGCGUGGGGAGCAAACAGG
RNAcentral lists this ribosomal RNA (253 nucleotides) under uncultured bacterium. Its description in RNAcentral is "partial 16S ribosomal RNA". It matches the Rfam family "Bacterial small subunit ribosomal RNA", at positions 524 to 776 of the family's 1533-position model. The record is from RNAcentral.